UUAAGUUGAGGAGAGCUGUUCACAAGCAGUGGUUAUGAGCUCUUUCUUGUUCCGGUUCAGAAGAGGCUGCGCACCUUCAGUUGCACUAGUGGAUUGAAUAACCUUUUUUUUUAGUGCCAACAAAGUGCAUGUGUUCUUGGUUAAUAAAAACACAAGUAUAGGCUGGAGGACUGAUACUAUAAGUAGGACAAAGGCCUUCAAAGAGAAAUGAAAGGAUUUUUUUAGCAUUUUUCCACUUUAUCCAAGGAAUCCCUUUCUUGGCAUUUGUAUUUGAGAGAGAGAGCUAUGCUUAGGUUAGCAUUUUUCCACUUUAUCUAAGGAAUCCCAUACUUGGCAUUUGUAUUUGAGAGAGAGAGCUAUGCUUAGGUCAGUUCCUUCAGUCAACUUUUUUG
RNAcentral lists this long non-coding RNA (392 nucleotides) under Nicotiana benthamiana. RNAcentral describes it as "long non-coding RNA (NBEN_LNC036941)". The record is from RNAcentral. Lineage: Eukaryota; Viridiplantae; Streptophyta; Magnoliopsida; Solanales; Solanaceae.